RNAcentral lists this ribosomal RNA (352 nucleotides) under uncultured bacterium. RNAcentral describes it as "bacterial SSU rRNA". It matches the Rfam family "Bacterial small subunit ribosomal RNA", at positions 8 to 350 of the family's 1533-position model. The record is from RNAcentral.
AGAGUUUGAUCCUGGCUCAGGAUGAACGCUAGCUACAGGCUUAACACAUGCAAGUCGAGGGGAAACGAUAUCGAAAGCUUGCUUUUGAUGGGCGUCGACCGGCGCACGGGUGAGUAACGCGUAUCCAACCUGCCCAUCACUUGGGGAUAACCUUGCGAAAGUAAGACUAAUACCCAAUGAUAUCUCUAGAAGGCAUCUGAAAGAGAUUAAAGAUUUAUCGGUGAUGGAUGGGGAUGCGUCUGAUUAGCUUGUUGGCGGGGUAACGGCCACCAAAGCAACGAUCAGUAGGGGUUCUGAGAGGAAGGUCCCCCANAUUGGAACUGAGACACGGUCCAAACUCCUACGGGAGGCA